GAUGAAGAACGUAGCGAAAUGCGAUAACUAAUGUGAAUUGCAGAAUUCAGUGAAUCAUCGAGUCUUUGAACGCACAUUGCGCCCCCUGGUAUUCCGGGGGGCAUGCCUGUCCGAGCGUCAUUGCUGCCCUCAAGCACGGCUUGUGUGUUGGGCUCCGUCCCCCCGGGGACGGGCCCGAAAGGCAGCGGCGGCACCGAGUCCGGUCCUCGAGCGUAUGGGGCUUUGUCACCCGCUCUGUAUGCCCGGCCGGCGCCAGCCGACAACCCAUCAUCCUUUUCAGGUUGACCUCGGAUCAGGUAGGGAUACCCGCUGAACUUAAGCAUAUCAAUAAGCGGAGA
This 338-nucleotide unclassified non-coding RNA is filed under the name soil metagenome. RNAcentral describes it as "partial contains 5.8S ribosomal RNA, internal transcribed spacer 2, and large subunit ribosomal RNA". The stretch from base 1 to 120 matches the Rfam family "5.8S ribosomal RNA", at positions 35 to 154 of the family's 154-position model. The record is from RNAcentral.